This is a long non-coding RNA of Pogoniulus pusillus (Red-fronted tinkerbird), 1513 nucleotides long. RefSeq lists it as uncharacterized. The record is from RefSeq and is a predicted model, not a curated record. The transcript is spliced from 3 exons. NCBI's taxonomy places the organism in Eukaryota, Metazoa, Chordata, Aves, Piciformes, Lybiidae.
GUGAGAAGCAAGGCUGCAAAGACAGCCUCUUUCCUUCGAAUGCAUGCUCCAAGGUUGAGACUUUUUCUCUACCUCCAGUCAUUUCCCAGUCUUCUCUAGCAGCAGCGCCCGGAGAAGGCAGCCUCACCGCUCCGGUUUCCCUGGGUGCUUGGAGAUGUCCCUGUCCCUCGGAAAAGGUAGUGACCAUGCUGAAUUCAGUGGAGAUGCUAACUUCACCUUGAGAGAAAACCUGCAUUUGAACUUGAGCCAAGCAGGGCAAGAAUCUUGGAUACAUAGUCACUUCUAGUUCAUCUGGUGGCUAUUCAGCAGACUGACACCAAGAUGGAGUGAGCUGUAGAUGAGGACAAAGAAACAGAAAUAGUCUUGCCUAUAAACUCCCAAAGGUAAGAAGCUAUCAUAAGGACUGUGAGUUACAGUACCCGUUAAAUGGCUCAAGAUAACUCUAAGUUUUGUAGCAGAGCUCAUGUACAUUGACCAGUCUGAAAAGCCUGAGUACCUUUAUUUUACAUAGAAUUAGUUCAUUCUCAAAUACAACAAAAAAACAGGGAGUAGGUUAGACAUAAGAAGCCAGUUCCUAUGCAGGACUUGACAUGUGCAAGUGUGUAAUACCCAAAAGCUUACUUGCUCCUUUUAACUGGGGUGGGACUGCAGUCAGUACUAGUUUCCCACCUCAGAAGAAGCUAGAGGCACAUGCAACACGUGUGUACAGACUGCUACUAGAGAGAUUUAAGCUGUCAAUCUGCAAAGACUUCUGGUGAUGAAACAAAUUUGGGACGAGGGAACUGCUACCAAGUGACUGUGUGAGGAAGGCACCUGAUAUAAGUACAACCAUCUGUCCUCGGCCUGUAUAAAAAACAGAAACGUUUGUAUUUUGAGGGUUAACUGCUUUUUGUGUUCUCUGAAAAUGACAGGCCCACGACAAACGGCAGGCAGAAGGUUCAGAGCACUGUAGCCCCACUGCCCUCCUCAUUAGCCCAUCUUCCAUUCCCUUAAUGCAGCUCUUGGAUGCCGCACCGGCAUUGCCACGCGUCUCCAAAGCCCAGGUGAGUUGUGGUACUGUGCAUGGGUAGGCAAUGAGUGAUUUUUCCCUUGUGAAGUAUCACAGUAUUAUUAGGAUUGGAAGAGACCUCACAGAUCAUCAAGUCCAACCCUUUACCACAGAGCUCAAGGCUAGACCAUGGCACCAAGCACCACAUCCAAUCUUGCCUUGAACAGCCCCAGGGACAACAUUCCCUUAUGAAGUAAAUGAUGGCACUGGCCACCAAUCUGCAACUUCUUUAGAUUAAACCUAAAAAGACAUUAUCUUUAAGACAUGAACUUCUUUAGAUAAACAUAAAAGGCUUUAUCAUUUCUUUGUGAAACUGUGAGAAUGGAUGCUCCAAAUGUGUCCACUCUCAUCCAGAUACUUUCAGAAGGUGCUUGUUCUAACAAAGGUCUCUUGGAAUGGGAUUAAGUGAUUCCUUCUUGAGCAGAAUCUGUGUUAAGGACAGAUAUACACUCAGGUCACAAUAUA